This is a long non-coding RNA of Nothobranchius furzeri (turquoise killifish), 698 nucleotides long. RefSeq lists it as uncharacterized. The record is from RefSeq and is a predicted model, not a curated record. NCBI's taxonomy places the organism in Eukaryota, Metazoa, Chordata, Actinopteri, Cyprinodontiformes, Nothobranchiidae.
GAGAGAGAGAGAGAGAGAGAGAGAGAGAGAGAGAGAGAGAGAGAGAGAGAGAGAGAGAGAGAGAGAGAGAGAGAGAGAGAGAGAGAGAGAGAGAGAGAGAGAAUGGGUGAGCAGGGGUCAGGCAGGGGCUGGCUGAGGUACCUCCUCAACAAUCUCUUCCCUACGGACAAACACUCUCUCUCUCUUUUUCUUUCUUUCUUUCUUUCUUUCUUUCUUUCUUUCUUUCUUUCUUUCUUUCUUUCUUUAUUUCUUUCUUUCUUUCUUUCUCUCUCUCUCUCUUUCACUCUCACACACACACACACAUCCUCCAUGAGUAACAUUCUCAAUUUCAUGCACAUGCUGAACUAAGCUGUCCUACAAAUUACAGCUGCUUGCUGUGUCCCUCUGAAGGAUGACAGUUGGAUGAAGACAAACAAAGCAUGACAAGCAGUAUGAAGAUCACACAGAAAGACACUUUGGCCGUGGACCAGCCGUCCAGACAAAGGCUGCUUAGGAAGGCAGUUACAACGGAGGACCGCAUCCUGCUGAAAAUACGACUGAAGAUAUUUGGAGAAUAAAGGCGCCUGAUGUGGCGGCGCCUUGCAGAUGAAGUUUGGAGUCUCUAGAUCGGUUUCUGCAGUUUGCUCAUGCAGUUACUUCUACAUGUUUAUGUCCCAGGAGUUUGGUAAAAUAAAACUUUAUUCAUGCACUGAAGCAUA